This 736-nucleotide ribosomal RNA is filed under the name uncultured Haemophilus sp. RNAcentral's name for it is "bacterial SSU rRNA". It matches the Rfam family "Bacterial small subunit ribosomal RNA", at positions 99 to 831 of the family's 1533-position model. The record is from RNAcentral. Lineage: Bacteria; Pseudomonadati; Pseudomonadota; Gammaproteobacteria; Pasteurellales; Pasteurellaceae.
CGGACGGGUGAGUAAUGCUUGGGAAUCUGGCUUAUGGAGGGGGAUAACUACGGGAAACUGUAGCUAAUACCGCGUAGUAUCGAGAGAUGAAAGACUGGGACCGCAAGGCCAGUUGCCAUGAGAUGAGCCCAAGUGGGAUUAGGUAGUUGGUGGGGUAAAGGCCUACCAAGCCGACGAUCUCUAGCUGGUCUGAGAGGAUGACCAGCCACACUGGAACUGAGACACGGUCCAGACUCCUACGGGAGGCAGCAGUGGGGAAUAUUGCACAAUGGGGGGAACCCUGAUGCAGCCAUGCCGCGUGAAUGAAGAAGGCCUUCGGGUUGUAAAGUUCUUUCGGUGAUGAGGAAGGUGUUUGUUUUAAUAGAGCAAGCAAUUGACGUUAGUCACAGAAGAAGCACCGGCUAACUCCGUGCCAGCAGCCGCGGUAAUACGGAGGGUGCGAGCGUUAAUCGGAAUGACUGGGCGUAAAGGGCACGCAGGCGGUGACUUAAGUGAGAUGUGAAAGCCCCGAGCUUAACUUGGGAAUUGCAUUUCAUACUGGGUUGCUAGAGUAUUUUAGGGAGGGGUAGAAUUCCACGUGUAGCGGUGAAAUGCGUAGAGAUGUGGAGGAAUACCGAAGGCGAAGGCAGCCCCUUGGGAAAAUACUGACGCUCAUGUGCGAAAGCGUGGGGAGCAAACAGGAUUAGAUACCCUGGUAGUCCACGGCUGUAACGCUGUCGAUUUGGGGGAUGGGCUU